CGCGGUGGGAUCUCUCCAUCACCACUACAGCUGCAAGCAGAGGAUCCCUCCACUGCCACUGCAGUCACGAGCAGAGGAUCCUGCCACCGUCCGUACAGUGCUCGGGUGGCGGCGGCGGCAAACCGCUGUGUACAAUGCAUGCGUGGUGUCACACGCAUGUGCUGUACGUAGCGACGCCACACAUGCGCCCUACAUAGCGACGCCACACAUGCGUCGUACGUAGUGGCGCAACGCGUGUGCAAUUGGCAGUUUGCCCCGCCCCGGGUGUUGGUUAGCCUUCGUUCGCCCCGGCAUCACAGACAC
This is a non-coding RNA of Podarcis lilfordi (Lilford's wall lizard), 303 nucleotides long. The record is from the annotation of a GenBank genome assembly. NCBI's taxonomy places the organism in Eukaryota, Metazoa, Chordata, Lepidosauria, Squamata, Lacertidae.